ACCCGCUGAACUUAAGCAUAUCAAUAAGCGGAGGAAAU
RNAcentral lists this ribosomal RNA (38 nucleotides) under Aspergillus fumigatus. RNAcentral describes it as "partial 28S ribosomal RNA". The record is from RNAcentral. Lineage: Eukaryota; Fungi; Ascomycota; Eurotiomycetes; Eurotiales; Aspergillaceae.